This 164-nucleotide ribosomal RNA is filed under the name uncultured bacterium. RNAcentral's name for it is "partial 16S ribosomal RNA". It matches the Rfam family "Bacterial small subunit ribosomal RNA", at positions 355 to 511 of the family's 1533-position model. The record is from RNAcentral.
UAGGGAAUCUUCCACAAUGGGCGCAAGCCUGAUGGAGCAACACCGCGUGAGUGAAGAAGGGUUUCGGCUCGUAAAGCUCUGUUGUUAAAGAAGAACAUAUCUGAGAGUAACUGUUCAGGUAUUGACGGUAUUUAACCAGAAAGCCACGGCUAACUACGUGCCAG